This 303-nucleotide ribosomal RNA is filed under the name uncultured bacterium. Its description in RNAcentral is "partial 16S ribosomal RNA". It matches the Rfam family "Bacterial small subunit ribosomal RNA", at positions 507 to 807 of the family's 1533-position model. The record is from RNAcentral.
AGCAGUCGCCGCGGUAAUACGUAGGGUGCAAGCGUUAAUCGGAAUUACUGGGCGUAAAGCGUGCGCAGGCGGUUCUAUAAGACAGAUGUGAAAUCCCCGGGCUCAACCUGGGAACUGCAUUUGUGACUGUAGAGCUGGAGUGCGGCAGAGGGGGAUGGAAUUCCGCGUGUAGCAGUGAAAUGCGUAGAUAUGCGGAGGAACACCGAUGGCGAAGGCAAUCCCCUGGGCCUGCACUGACGCUCAUGCACGAAAGCGUGGGGAGCAAACAGGAUUAGAUACCCGAGUAGUCCCUGUCUCUUAUAC